Camellia sinensis is the source of this 1081-nucleotide non-coding RNA. The record is from RefSeq and is a predicted model, not a curated record. Lineage: Eukaryota; Viridiplantae; Streptophyta; Magnoliopsida; Ericales; Theaceae.
GCCAAUGUUUCUAGUCACUCUCAAGUUUGUAGUCAAUGUUUCUAGUGACCUUCAACAAUUCGUAAUAUAAAUCCCCUUGUUUAUGUCAAGUUCUUCUUUAGCCAUCCUAUAAUUUUUAAUAAUUUUAGAAUUAUACAUAUCAUUCAUGGCUCUGUUAACAUUUGUUGUUAUGCAUAAGGGGUUUUGUCUAGUUCUACUCUGUGAUGCUUAUUCCCAUUUUUUUAUUUGUUACCUUCCCCAAGUAAGUAUGUGAGAUUUAGUUAACUAACUCCAAAAUCCUAUUUGUUCAGAAUGAUGAAUAAAUUAUGGGCUCGUUUUAUCGAGUAUAGACCUUAAUCUUGUUCGAGAAUUUUCAUCAGCGUUGGAUAUCACAACUUUCAUCUUAUUUUUUAAUUGACUUUAUUGUAUUUUCUAGAUGGAUGAUGAUCAUUAUUCAGAAUAUGUUGUUUCUAGCAUUUCAAUAUCUAAUGAUUAUCUUAUGAAAAUCCUGAUAAUGGAAGGGACUCAGUUUAUUGGUGUGUUUUUGUCGGGACUUCUUGUAAAAGAAGGCCACCAGAUUUCUGCUACUUUGAAGACAUCGAUUGGUUAAUUCACUCUCUAUCAAGGUUUGUUAAGGGAACCAGACCAUAUAUGUUCCCUGUUCUGUGUUGGCUAGAACAUCUUGGGGAAGAGGUAUGCAUUAGAUGAUAUUGGUUCUGGAUCUCAUGUGCAUCUCAGUUUGUGUCAGAGUUGAACCCAUAUGAAUAGGUAGUUUGGUACUAACAGAGAAGUAUGCAUUUUUACCAGUUCUGUUAAAAUAUCUUGUCUACAUAGAAUUAUUUUUUAAGCAUGCAGUUAUAUUUGGAAAUUUGAUGGGUGUACUAUUGAUCUUGAGGAAAACCUUUCACGGUGAUGUUUCCAUCGAUGGGUGUACCAAUUUGUAAUUAUUCAGGCUAUGUGGUUUCUGCUUUUAAGACCAAUAAGCUUUAUUGAUCCUUAUUUGUUUUAUAGUUUUUAGUGAGUUAUAUGUUGAUAUCAUAUGAUUUUGAUUGUCCAUAUAAUAUUCCAUUUUAUCAUUUAUGUGAUCCUUUCUGCAUUGUUG